GGAAUCUUCCACAAUGGGCGAAAGCCUGAUGGAGCAACGCCGCGUGUGUGAUGAAGGGUUCCGGCUCGUAAAACACUGUUGUAAGAGAAGAAUGACAUUGAGAGUAACUGUUCAAUGUGUGACGGUAUCUUACCAGAAAGGAACGGCUAAAUACGUGCCAG
Molecule: ribosomal RNA, 161 nt
Filed under: uncultured bacterium
Lineage: Bacteria
Description: partial 16S ribosomal RNA
Rfam family: Bacterial small subunit ribosomal RNA
Source: RNAcentral